This 424-nucleotide ribosomal RNA is filed under the name uncultured bacterium. RNAcentral's name for it is "bacterial SSU rRNA". It matches the Rfam family "Bacterial small subunit ribosomal RNA", at positions 954 to 1392 of the family's 1533-position model. The record is from RNAcentral.
GCUUAACGCGAAGAACCUUACCCAGGCUUGACAUCCCUGGAAGGUCUCCGAAAGGAGACUGUGCCUUCGGGAAUCAGGUGACAGGUGCUGCAUGGCCGUCGUCAGCUCGUGUCGUGAGAUGUUUGGUUAAGUCCAUUAACGAGCGCAACCCUUGUAAGUAGUUGAAUUUUUCUACUUAGACCGCCUCGGUAACGGGGAGGAAGGAGGGGAUGAUGUCAGGUCAGUAUUGCCCUUACGCCUGGGGCUACAAACACGCUACAAUGGCCGGUACAAAGGGCAGCCAACCCGCGAGGGGGAGCAAAUCCCAUCAAAGCCGGUCUCAGUUCGGAUUGUAGGCUGAAACUCGCCUGCAUGAAGCUGGAAUCGCUAGUAAUGGUAGGUCAGCACACUACCGUGAAUACGUUCCCGGGUCUUGUACACACCG